GGUACCCCAGUUUUUCUGGGUUCACCCAGAGUGCAGAUGCUUGAGGAGGUGGGAAGGGACUAUUUGGGGGUGUCUGGCUCAGGUGCCAUGCCUCACUGGGGCUGGUUGGCACCUGCAUUUCCUGGGAGUGGGGCUGUCUCAGGGUAGCUGGGCACGGUGUUCCCUUGAGUGGGGGUGUAGUGGGUGUUCCUAGCUGCCACGCCUUUGCCUUCACCUAUGGGAUCGUGGCUGUCAGCCUUGAGGGUCAGCCUGGCCCAGGCUCCCAUAGGCUUAGGAGAGGCCGCAAUUCCUACCUGUUCAUCCAGACAGAGGGGGACCUGGAAUCAAAGUCAAGUUGGGGUAGGGGGUCCAUGGGGCCAGGUUCUCUUUUUAUUUCUGAGACGGGGUCUUGUGUUGCCCAGGCUGGAGUGUAAUGGCACAACCAUGGCUCACUGCAGCCUCAACUUUGGGCUCAAGCAAUUCUCCUGCCUCAGCCUCCCAAGUAGCUGAAACUACACAGGCAUGCCCCAGCACGCCCAGCUAGUUGCAGGUCAGAUUCUCAUUGUUCUACAGGGCCCUGAGUUAAAUACUCUCGCAAGAAGAAACCAAGCCUGGCCUGCCUUCCCUCUGCUAGAAGCUGUGAUUGACACCAGCAGAGAAUGAAGGAAGAAAAGGGGGUGAGGAUCCCUUGCAGGGAUGCCGUUUACCCCAAACACCACCUGGUGCAUAGCAGUUGUUCUGGAAAUGAUCCGGUCCCCCCAGGAGGCCUGGACUCUCAACUGUGCACAGUGGCCUACUGGCAGAGAGGAAGGUGGUACCCUUCCUCCUGUGUUAUCUUGGAGGUCCCCUGAAGGGCUCUCUGGGGUGGUUCUAGCUCUUUUGGUCUGAUUUCUGCAGUGGUGAGCCCUGGGCCACCUUGGGCCACUUAAUCAUUCAACCCCCAUUCAUUGAGUGACCACUCUACGGUGGGGGAGGCUACUGAGAUGACCUGGACAAGGACCCUGCCCUGGAGGAGCUGUCAGUCUGGAAGUGAGGAUUUAAUUCAUUUGCCCAUUCAUUCAUUCAUUCAUUCAUUCAUUGAGGACUUAAUUCAUUUGCUCAUUCAUUCAUUCAUUUGCUCAUUCAUCCAUUCAUUCAUCCAUCCAUCCAUCCAUCCAAUCACUAUUUGUGCCAGAUAGUGCGGGUAUAGAGGAGAACCAACCAGAUGUGUUCCGUGUCCUCACCAGGCACCCAGUUUAAUGGGGAAGACAUCACAAGCACGAAGGCAAACAAAUGAGUGUACAGUGACAUGCUGUGAUCAUAGGAAGAGAGAGCAGAGACUUUGAUGAACACGAGCAUCGGGUGAUGUUCAUUAUGUCGAUUGUGGUGGUGGUCUUGCAGGUGUAGACAUACUUCAAACCUUAUCUAAUUGGGCCUGCUGUGGUGACGCAUGCUUGUAAUCCCAGCAUUUUGGGAAGCUGAGGUGGGAGGAUCACUUGAGCCCAGGAGCUCAAGGCUGC
This 1478-nucleotide long non-coding RNA is filed under the name Homo sapiens (human). RNAcentral's name for it is "HSALNT0118233". Lineage: Eukaryota; Metazoa; Chordata; Mammalia; Primates; Hominidae. The record is from RNAcentral.